RNAcentral lists this unclassified non-coding RNA (363 nucleotides) under Mus musculus (house mouse). RNAcentral's name for it is "Ig kappa". Lineage: Eukaryota; Metazoa; Chordata; Mammalia; Rodentia; Muridae. The record is from RNAcentral.
GACAUCGUCCUUACCCAGUCUCCAUCUACCAUGUCUACAUCUCUAGGAGAGAGAGUCACUAUCACUUCCAAGGCGAGUCAGGACAUUAAUAGCUAUUUAAGCUGGUUUCAGCAGAAACCAGGGAAAUCUCCUAAGACCCUGAUCUGUCGUGUAAAGAGAUUGGUAGAUGGGGUCCCAUCAAGGUUCAGUGGCAGUGGAUCUGGACAAGACUAUUCUCUCACCAUCAGCAGCCUGGAGUAUGAAGAUAUGGGAAUUUAUUAUUGUCUACAGUAUGAUGAGUUUCCUCCAUGUACCCGUUCGGAGGGGGGACCGAGCUGGAAAUAAAACGGGCUGAUGCUGCACCAACUGUAUCCAUCUGCGACC